This 253-nucleotide ribosomal RNA is filed under the name uncultured bacterium. RNAcentral's name for it is "partial 16S ribosomal RNA". It matches the Rfam family "Bacterial small subunit ribosomal RNA", at positions 524 to 776 of the family's 1533-position model. The record is from RNAcentral.
UACGUAGGCAGCAAGCGUUGUUCGGAGUUACUGGGCGUAAAGGGUGCGUAGGCGGUUGUUUAAGUUUGGUGUGAAAUCUCCCGGCUCAACCGGGAGGGUGCGCCAAAUACUGAACGGCUAGAGUGCGGGAGAGGAGAGUGGAAUUCCUGGUGUAGCGGUGAAAUGCGUAGAUAUCAGGAGGAACACCUGUGGCGAAAGCGGCUCACUGGACCAUAACUGACGCUGAGGCACGAAAGCUAGGGGAGCAAACAGG